GGGUGAGGAACACGUGAGUAACCUACCCUAAAGCGGGGGACAACUUUCCGAAAGGAAGGCUAAUACCGCGUAUGACCAUAAUUUCCUUGGAUUUUAUGGUGAAAGAUGGCCUCUAUUUAUAAGCUAUCACUUUAGGAUGGGCUCGCGGCUUAUCAGCUUGUUGGUGGGGUAAUGGCCUACCAAGGCAAUGACGAGUAGCUGGUCUGAGAGGAUGAUCAGCCACAUCGGAACUGAGACACUGUCCGAACUCC
RNAcentral lists this ribosomal RNA (251 nucleotides) under uncultured bacterium. RNAcentral describes it as "partial 16S ribosomal RNA". It matches the Rfam family "Bacterial small subunit ribosomal RNA", at positions 104 to 339 of the family's 1533-position model. The record is from RNAcentral.